This 1003-nucleotide ribosomal RNA is filed under the name Escherichia coli. RNAcentral describes it as "partial 23S ribosomal RNA". It matches the Rfam family "Bacterial large subunit ribosomal RNA", at positions 744 to 1746 of the family's 2925-position model. The record is from RNAcentral. Lineage: Bacteria; Pseudomonadati; Pseudomonadota; Gammaproteobacteria; Enterobacterales; Enterobacteriaceae.
GUUGAAGGUUGGGUAACACUAACUGGAGGACCGAACCGACUAAUGUUGAAAAAUUAGCGGAUGACUUGUGGCUGGGGGUGAAAGGCCAAUCAAACCGGGAGAUAGCUGGUUCUCCCCGAAAGCUAUUUAGGUAGCGCCUCGUGAAUUCAUCUCCGGGGGUAGAGCACUGUUUCGGCAAGGGGGUCAUCCCGACUUACCAACCCGAUGCAAACUGCGAAUACCGGAGAAUGUUAUCACGGGAGACACACGGCGGGUGCUAACGUCCGUCGUGAAGAGGGAAACAACCCAGACCGCCAGCUAAGGUCCCAAAGUCAUGGUUAAGUGGGAAACGAUGUGGGAAGGCCCAGACAGCCAGGAUGUUGGCUUAGAAGCAGCCAUCAUUUAAAGAAAGCGUAAUAGCUCACUGGUCGAGUCGGCCUGCGCGGAAGAUGUAACGGGGCUAAACCAUGCACCGAAGCUGCGGCAGCGACGCUGAUGCGUUGUUGGGUAGGGGAGCGUUCUGUAAGCCUGUGAAGGUGUGCUGUGAGGCAUGCUGGAGGUAUCAGAAGUGCGAAUGCUGACAUAAGUAACGAUAAAGCGGGUGAAAAGCCCGCUCGCCGGAAGACCAAGGGUUCCUGUCCAACGUUAAUCGGGGCAGGGUGAGUCGACCCCUAAGGCGAGGCCGAAAGGCGUAGUCGAUGGGAAACAGGUUAAUAUUCCUGUACUUGGUGUUACUGCGAAGGGGGGACGGAGAAGGCUAUGUUGGCCGGGCGACGGUUGUCCCGGUUUAAGCGUGUAGGCUGGUUUUCCAGGCAAAUCCGGAAAAUCAAGGCUGAGGCGUGAUGACGAGGCACUACGGUGCUGAAGCAACAAAUGCCCUGCUUCCAGGAAAAGCCUCUAAGCAUCAGGUAACAUCAAAUCGUACCCCAAACCGACACAGGUGGUCAGGUAGAGAAUACCAAGGCGCUUGAGAGAACUCGGGUGAAGGAACUAGGCAAAAUGGUGCCGUAACUUCGGGAGAAGG